GAGGGUGUAGCUCAGUGGUAGAGCGUGUGCUUAGCAUGCAUGAGGUCCUAGGUUCAAUACCCAGUCCCUCA
RNAcentral lists this transfer RNA (71 nucleotides) under Camelus bactrianus (Bactrian camel). It matches the Rfam family "tRNA". Rfam says of the family: Transfer RNA (tRNA) molecules are approximately 80 nucleotides in length. Their secondary structure includes four short double-helical elements and three loops (D, anti-codon, and T loops). Lineage: Eukaryota; Metazoa; Chordata; Mammalia; Artiodactyla; Camelidae. The record is from Rfam by way of RNAcentral. RNAcentral also lists the same sequence under 1 other name.